RNAcentral lists this ribosomal RNA (180 nucleotides) under uncultured bacterium. Its description in RNAcentral is "partial 16S ribosomal RNA". It matches the Rfam family "Bacterial small subunit ribosomal RNA", at positions 118 to 298 of the family's 1533-position model. The record is from RNAcentral.
UGAGUAACCUGCCCUUCACUCUGGGAUAACUCCGGGAAACCGGGCUAAUACUGGAUAUGACUCGAACAGGCAUCUGUUUCGGGUGGAAAGAUUUUAUUGGUGGAGGAUGGACUCGCGGCCUAUCAGCUUGUUGGUGAGGUAAUGGCUCACCAAGGCGACGACGGGUAGCCGGCCUGAGGA